RNAcentral lists this small nuclear RNA (18 nucleotides) under Arabidopsis thaliana (thale cress). RNAcentral's name for it is "snRNA_07114". The record is from RNAcentral. Lineage: Eukaryota; Viridiplantae; Streptophyta; Magnoliopsida; Brassicales; Brassicaceae.
AUCCACGCUCACCGCACC